AGGGUAGUAGCUCCAAUUGGUUAGAGCGUCGCAUUCCAAAUGCGAAUGUUGAGGGUUCGAGUCCUUCCUACCCUGCCA
Molecule: transfer RNA, 78 nt
Filed under: Planctomycetota bacterium
Lineage: Bacteria; Pseudomonadati; Planctomycetota
Description: Planctomycetes bacterium tRNA-Trp
Rfam family: tRNA
About the family: Transfer RNA (tRNA) molecules are approximately 80 nucleotides in length. Their secondary structure includes four short double-helical elements and three loops (D, anti-codon, and T loops).
Source: RNAcentral